CCAAUUAAUAAAUUAAUUCCUUCUAUUUCCAGGAUCCGCAACCUUUACAUCCUGGUGUUACACUUUCAAAGCAUAUUGAUUCAAAUUAUACAUUUCAAGUUAUAAAUAAUCUUUUUCACUUGGAUAUAUUGAUUGUAAUUAUCCAUGAACUCACAACUAGACUUAACUAUACUUUUAUACAAUGUUCUUUGACUGUGCAAUUACAAUAUGUCAUUUAAACGCUACCUAGCAUAGCUAGAGCUAUUCGAACAACUUCAAUAAGUACUUCUUCCUCUUUCCUUUGUCUAUCCCGAAUCCUUCGAUCCGCUUUGGUUUAGCUGAAAACAAUUAUUUAUAGCAAGGGUGAGCAACUACGUUGCCCAACAAGUUUAACAGUUAUCGCAUAACACAUAGUUCGCAUUUUAAACACAACUUAAAUUAUUCAUACUUUGCAGUUUAUACAUAAAUUCAUGUUUUUCAUACAUUGCAUUUAUUCAGGCAUCAUAAUGCUCAUACUCAGCAAUUAUACCUACUUCACGCUUAUCAUGUUCCUCAUAUCAUGAAUAUAAUAAGUUUCCAUAACUCAGUCCACAUCAAUCAUUAAUUUGAUUCAAUAGAUUUAUAUCACAGUAUAGCGCAUCUCAAUUUAUUCACAAGGAGUACAUAUAAUACAUGGAGUAUGUACACAUUACAAUUAACAAGUUCACAUAUAAAAACAAGUUCUGAAAAACUUGCCUGUACCGGAGUUUUACCAUUACACCAACUUUUGCGUUCCUUGCACAACCUACAUUAUAUGUGGGAUUGAUAACAAAACACAUUAUCAGUCAAAGUUUGACUAUUAGUGUGAUCUUACUUUAAAACCUUAUCUUAACUUAUUAUCUUCCGUGUAUCCUUUUUAUAUCUAAUAAUAUAGACAUUCAACUUCAUUAUUUAUAUAGCUCGGUUUUAUUUCCCUUUUUAUCACCACAUGUGCUAGCUUAUCGCACUUGUAGUUUACGUACUGUGUGUGUAUCACACCAUUACAACAUACCAUAUUUGGUUAAACAUUUCUCAUCUAGAUUCCUUAGACUUGGAUUAUGCGGAGAGCAUUUGUUCAUCACUUUGUAACCAUUCACUUAAUAGUACCUUACAUUAAUCUUGUAAUGUGUCUAUCCCAGUUAACAAAAUAAUAAAAAUUUCCUUCCAAGUUCACUUUUACACUUUUUGGGUUGUCCAAAAAGUGUUACGCAACGAUUACAUAUUUGGACUCUACACGAAAAACUGAGCAACAUAUAAAAAAUUACAUGACGCCCAAAAAUUGACUCGGCGAACCAAAAUGGCUUGGCGUGCCAAAAACAGCACAACCAUUGCCCAGACAGCCCACACACUGCCCAGACUGCAGAACAAAAUCUGGAAAUUUCAGAUUUUGUGAUUUUCGGGCUAGUUUUACGAAUUUUUAUCUCACUCGUUAUACAUCGGAUUAAAGCCAUUUUCGGAUAUGUUCUACCUCAUACUACAUAGUAUUUUUAAAAAAUAUAACAUUCAUGAAAAGAGUUUGGAAAGGCUUCGAAACAGUGGCCUGAAACAGCCCACACACAGCAGUUUCAGACUAAGAAAAUUUCAUGGUUUCUGCAGUUUCGGUGAUUUUCUAUGCUACUUGGGGAAUUUUUAUGAAUUUUUGUAUUAGGCUUUUAGCUUGGAGAUCUGGACAUGCUUAUAGAACAUAUAUCAAACUAUUUUUCUACUGGUUUAGGUCAUUAAGAAAGCAACUUAAGCUUCCUCAAACUGAUGCCCAAACAAGGCUACUCACCACAGGUUUUUAGUAUUCUUAACUUUGGUCAAUUCUUGCCAAACUCAUUUCUGGCCACUUGGGCUCAUUCCAACACUUGAGUUACUACUAGUUAAGACUAUUUUUAGCAUUCCCCUGACCUAGCUAUGCAUAGAUAUGGUUUUGACCCUCUAAACCUAGCAUUUUCAAGCUUUUACAUACUAAUUUCUCAUUCUCUUAUAUAAAUUAGCAUUCCAACACUUGGAAUGGUCUAAUAUACUUUUAACUCACUUUCUUAAGAUGUUAAAACUGAUCUUUAAGCAAAAUGGCAAAAUCUCAAAUUUCCAUACUUAGAAAAAUCUGCAGAAAACUGCAGUUUGCAUGAUUUUCUUAGCUUGUUUGGUGAUUUUUAUGAAUUUCUUGAUUUUUAUGAAUUUCUUGGUUAAGCUAUUGGCUCAACCACUUGGCCCUGCUUCUAGAUCAUACUUCAAGGUAUUUUAAUCAAGUUUUAGGUUUCUUAUUCAUUUCAUUUAAGCUUCUCAAAACAGUGCCUCAAACUGGCCUGUUUUCUAACUUUUUGCAAAAACUGUUAUUAACACUUUUAUCAUUUUUCUCCAGUUUUGGCUACUUGGAUAGUCUAGACAUGUGUAUUUUAGUUAGUUAAGGACACUUUUAGCAUCACCACACUUUAUUUAAUCAUCUAGCCAACUUUGACCUAUCUAAGCUUACUUUAGGCUUGAAAAAACUUGGUCUUCUUACUAGCUUUGGUCAUGGCAAUGAUUGGUAACCAUUAUAAGCAUCCAUUAGCAUCUUUAUAUGAGUGUAUUACAGUCCUUUAAGUUCAGGUAUUAAAAAUUACACAAAACAGUCCACUUUUGGGCUUAAAAUGUGAUUUUUCACAAGUCUAAUGCUCAAAACAGCUUAGGCUUGGUUUCUUUAGCUUGUGUAGCUUACUUAUGCCAUAUUAUAACUAUUGAAACUUGCCUAUAUGGUCCAGGUAUGGUGGUUCUUCACUUAGGUGCUAAUUUCUAUUUUAAAGCUUACUUUCAUUGGUUUUUAGAUAUGAAUUUGAACCACACAUAACAUAGACCUUAAUUAAAUUAAGGAACACCUUUUAAAUACCCCUUAUGGACAUUUCAUGGUCUCUUUACUGACUCAUAAGUUCAGGUACUGAACUUGACCAAAACAGUCCCCAAAUUUGGAUUUUUAGCACAGUUUUGCCUAUUAAAUAUUAAACAGUUCCAUAACAAGACUAAGGGAACUUCUAGGCAUUCAAAUAAACUUCACACAUCAUUAAAACUUAUCACCAUGAACCUUAAUAAGCUUGCACAGUCAGUCUAAUAUCUGACACCAAAACAGUGCACACACACAAGGCACUUUAGGCAUGGUUUUAACACCUCAAGUUCAGGUUCUGGCCUUUUAAUUCAUUGAGACACAUGUAUUUUGAUCACAUGAGACUUAUUAUUUCAUAACCUUGCCUUGUAUAAUAGCUUAGCAUAUUUUUGGCUUUUAAAACUUACUUUACAUAGCAUAUACACAUGAAGCUCUACAAGUUUGCUAGCUUAUGACUUUGCUGCACUUUUGCUACCAUUUCUGGCAUAUUUUUAUGCCACAAUAUAAGCUUCUAUCUAUCUAAUAUGGCCAGGUUUAAUAGAUUGCCAUAGCAGUCCCAAACUUAGAAUGUUAAGCAUGGAUUUGGCAUGGUAACUCAAAACAGCCUCAAGUUUAGUUAAGAUGAAUGUUGAAGCACCUUUAGAACAUGUAAUUGUGAAGAGAGAUGCAUUCACGGCUGGAGUUUAAUCAAUUCUUAGCUAACACAAAACAGCCCUCUUUUUACUUAAGUUUUAAGCUUGAAGCCUCUUAGCUAUUCAAGUUAAGCAUGUCCAUUCUCCUUUUAGCAUAUAAGCAUAUACAUGGGAUUAUUAUCUUAGUAUAUGACAUGGUUUUGGACUUUGUUUGCAUAGCUAACAUGCCUUUAGCACAUAGCAGUCAACAUUUAGGCAUUUUAUCAAACAUGUAGAGUGCAGUCCAUAUAUAUACAUAUAGUACAUAUAUUUCUAGCUCUUUGACCCCAGCCUUAUGGCUUUAAUUUACCUAGCAUGACAAAAACAAAUCAUAGCCACAAUUAGGCCUUAUGGAAGUUAACAUAUCAACAAGAAAUUUAGAAUAUCUAUCAUUAUAAUAGUAAACAGCCUUGUAUGUCAAUUCCAGUUUCUCUUCAAAAUUGAAGUGGGAAUGAAAUGAAUAAGGAUCUAAAUUAACUCACCCUUGAUAGCUUGAUGAUUGGGUUGGCUUUGUUGCUGAUAAUCUCCUCCCUCUCCAACUGGAAUCACUUUCUCUUCUUCACUAAAUAUGCUUUUGGAGCUCAAAUAAGUGGUGUAACCAUCUGAACUUGGGUGAAACAUUGGGGUUAUAUGGCUGAGUUCUCUAUCUUCAGUCAGUCACCUUCCUGACCACUUAUAAGCUUGGCCCCUAUUCUUCUCCAUCAUUACCCUACCCGGUAUUAGCUUCAAUUCAGCCCCUCUAACUUGCCUCCUAUCAGUCUACUCAUAGCAGUUAGUUGGCCCCUAUAACUACCUGACACCCUUGGUCUUUGCAGUGUACUUGACCCCUAAUAGCCAAC
This 4349-nucleotide long non-coding RNA is filed under the name Panax ginseng (ginseng). RNAcentral's name for it is "long non-coding RNA (PGIN_LNC016291)". Lineage: Eukaryota; Viridiplantae; Streptophyta; Magnoliopsida; Apiales; Araliaceae. The record is from RNAcentral.